Molecule: ribosomal RNA, 460 nt
Filed under: uncultured bacterium
Lineage: Bacteria
Description: partial 16S ribosomal RNA
Rfam family: Bacterial small subunit ribosomal RNA
Source: RNAcentral
CCUACGGGUGGCAGCAGUGAGGAAUAUUGGUCAAUGGUCGAGAGUCUGAACCAGCCAAGUAGCGUGAAGGAUGACUGUCCUAUGGGUUGUAAACCUCUUUUAUAUGGGAAUAAAAUCUGCGACGUGUGGGAUUUUGUAUGUACCAUAUGAAUAAGGAUCGGCUAACUCCGUGCCAGCAGCCGCGGUAAUACGGAGGAUCCGAGCGUUAUCCGGAUUUAUUGGGUUUAAAGGGAGCGUAGGUGGAUUGUUAAGUCAGUUGUGAAAGUUUGCGGCUCAACCGUAAAAUUGCAGUUGAAACUGGCAGUCUUGAGUACAGUAGAGGUGGGCGGAAUGCGUGGUGUAGCGGUGAAAUGCUUAGAUAUCACGAAGAACUCCGAUUGCGAAGGCAGUUCACUGGACUGCAACUGACACUGAGGCUCGAAAGUGUGGGUAUCAAACAGGAUUAGAUACCCGAGUAGUC